RNAcentral lists this ribosomal RNA (438 nucleotides) under uncultured bacterium. RNAcentral's name for it is "partial 16S ribosomal RNA". It matches the Rfam family "Bacterial small subunit ribosomal RNA", at positions 338 to 795 of the family's 1533-position model. The record is from RNAcentral.
CCUACGGGUGGCUGCAGUGGGGAAUAUUGCUCAAUGGGCGAAAGCCUGAUGCAGCAACGCCGCGUGAGCGAUGAAUGCCUUCGGGUCGUAAAGCUCUGUCCUUAAAGAAGAUAAUGACGGUACUUGAGGAGGAAGCCCCGGAUAACUAAGUGCCAGCAGCCGCGGUAAUACGUCGGGGGCUAGCGUUAUCCGGAAUUACUGGGCGUAAAGGUGCGUAGGUGGUUUUUUAAGUCAGAGGUGAAAGGCUAGGGCUCAACCGUAGUAGGCAUUUGAAACUGGGAAACUUGAGUGCAGGAGAGGUGAGUGGAAUUCCUAGUGUAGCGGUGAAAUGCGUAGAUAUUAGGAGGAACACCAGUUGCGAAGGCGGCUCUCUGGACUGUAACUGACACUGAGGCACGAAAGCGUGGGGAGCAAACAGGAUUAGAUACCCGAGUAGUC